UGGGGAAUAUUGCGCAAUGGGGGCAACCCUGACGCAGCCAUGCCGCGUGAAUGAAGAAGGCCUUCGGGUUGUAAAGUUCUUUCGGUAGCGAGGAAGGCAUUUAGUUUAAUAGACUAGGUGAUUGACGUUAACUACAGAAGAAGCACCGGCUAACUCCGUGCCAGCAGCCGCGGUAAUACGGAGGGUGCGAGCGUUAAUCGGAAUAACUGGGCGUAAAGGGCACGCAGGCGGUGACUUAAGUGAGGUGUGAAAGCCCCGGGCUUAACCUGGGAAUUGCAUUUCAUACUGGGUCGCUAGAGUACUUUAGGGAGGGGUAGAAUUCCACGUGUAGCGGUGAAAUGCGUAGAGAUGUGGAGGAAUACCGAAGGCGAAGGCAGCCCCUUGGGAAUGUACUGACGCUCAUGUGCGAAAGCGUGGGGAGCAAACAGGAUUAGAUACCCUGGUA
Molecule: ribosomal RNA, 445 nt
Filed under: uncultured bacterium
Lineage: Bacteria
Description: bacterial SSU rRNA
Rfam family: Bacterial small subunit ribosomal RNA
Source: RNAcentral